GCGCUCUCAUCUGAGCUUUAAGGUCUGAGGAGCAAUACAGCCCUCCAAUCUGCUGUUACUGGGGGAAAGGAAUGGGAGGCCCUAACUCUUUGGAACAGGACAAAUAGAAUCUGAAACUCCUGCUUCUCUUCCCAACUUUCAGGAAGUGGCAAAGGCUGUGACAGAAGAAAGACACCCUGCCACUGCAGCAAAAAAACUGGCUGAAAAACUGGACUCUCAAAUAUAACUUACUCCACCUCUUACUGUUAUUAUUGCUGUCCUUCUUUUGCAGCUCCUGCUCUCUUCUCCAGAAGGAGAGCUUGGCUCAAAUGAGAAAUUUCUCUGUGUGCAUGAAGAGAACCUGGAAGUUCUUCAGUGAAAUCUUCAGGGGAAGUUCUUCAAACUACAUGGAACAGUUCCUAGGCCACUGGCAGUUACUUCAGAAGGCCAACUGAAGUUUCCUUUUCAGUGCAGCGGAAGAAGCAUCCUUUGAUCAGCUACGAUCCUCUGUAGCUGCUGAAUUAUUCCCGGUAUUAAAGAAAAAGCUCUAACUAGCACCACAAAAAGCUAGACCAUUGCAAGCAUUUCUUCAACAAGGGAAUAGAGCUGAAGUGGGAUUCUGCGGAGAACGAUCACAUGCAACAUAUAUGCUUGUUUCCCUCUGAGGCUAACUGUCUGCCUUGACUGGGUCUCUGUAUGUCAAAUCAAAAUUAAACC
RNAcentral lists this long non-coding RNA (696 nucleotides) under Ornithorhynchus anatinus (platypus). Its description in RNAcentral is "lncRNA (ENSOANG00000041534.1)". The record is from RNAcentral. Lineage: Eukaryota; Metazoa; Chordata; Mammalia; Monotremata; Ornithorhynchidae.